GUCCUCUCCCAAAAGGAAGCCACCACAGGCAAAUUGAAACCUUGUGCCUUCCUCUUGCGCAAACUGUCACCAGCAGGACAGAAUUAUGAUGUCGGGAACCGGGAACUACUCGCCAUCAAGCUGGCGCUGGAGGAAUGGCGUCACUGGUUGGAGGGAGCCGAGCAGCCGUUUAUCGUAUGGACCGACCACAAGAACCUGGCCUAUCUCCGCUCCGCCAAGAGGAUCAACUCUAGGCAAGCUCGCUGGUGUCUCUUUUUCGACCGCUUCGAUUUCACAGUCACUUACAGACCCGGAUCCCGUAAUGUCAAGCAUGACGCUCUCUCCCGGAAAUACAGCCCUUCUGAACACACCCCUUCCAAUAUCCUGCCGUCCACCUGCAUCAUCGGAGCCCUUACUUGGGAUAUCGAAAAUAAGGUACUCCAAGCCCUGAGUAACCUCAACGACCAUCCUCCUGUCCCCAGCGGCACCUUGUGCGUUCCGGCUGAACUGCGUUCAGAGGUCAUCACCUGGGGACAUACGUGCCGUUUAGCCUACCAUGGGGGAGUGCACCGGACCCUGAGUCUCAUCCGUAAGAGGUUCCAUUGGCCUGCCAUGGAAAAAGACGUGCGGGAGUACAUCGCAGCCUGCUCCACGUGUGCCCAGUCUAAAUCUUCAUCCUCUGCUCCAGCAGGUCUGCUCCAUCCCCUUCUUACUCCCAACUGCCCCUGGUCUGACUUGGCCAUGGAUUUCGUCACCCGUCUUCCCCAGUUACAUGGUAACGCAGUCAUCCUCACUGUUGUUGAUCGUUUUUCUAAGAUGGCUCAUUUCAUUCCCCUUCCUCAACUCCCUACAGCCACUGAGACGGCUAACCUUAUGGUCAACCACGUUUUUCGCCACCAUGGCAUCCCUGUUGACAUAGUCUCCGACCGUGGCCCCCAGUUCACUUCUCAGGUCUGGAAGGCCUUCUGUUCGGCCUUGGGGGCCAUGGUCAGUCUCACCUCCGGCUACCAUCCCCAGUCUAAUGGCCAAGUGGAGAGAGCGAACCAGGAACAGGAGGCAGCUCUCCGCUGUCUAGCGGCACAGAAUCAACAGGACU
RNAcentral lists this long non-coding RNA (1075 nucleotides) under Oryzias sinensis (Chinese medaka). RNAcentral's name for it is "lncRNA (ENSOSIG00000016933.1)". The record is from RNAcentral. Lineage: Eukaryota; Metazoa; Chordata; Actinopteri; Beloniformes; Adrianichthyidae.